This 84-nucleotide transfer RNA is filed under the name Candidatus Woesearchaeota archaeon. RNAcentral's name for it is "tRNA-Leu". It matches the Rfam family "tRNA". From Rfam's summary of the family: Transfer RNA (tRNA) molecules are approximately 80 nucleotides in length. Their secondary structure includes four short double-helical elements and three loops (D, anti-codon, and T loops). The record is from RNAcentral. Lineage: Archaea; Nanobdellati; Candidatus Woesearchaeota.
GCGGGGAUGCCCGAGCGGUCUAAGGGGAUGGUCUCAAGAACCAUUGGCUUAGUGCCUUCGGAGGUUCGAAUCCUCCUCCCCGCA